UGCGUAAGAUUAGCUUGUUGGUGAGGUAAAGGCUCACCAAGGCGACGAUCUUUAGCGGGUCUGAGAGGACGAUCCGCCACAUUGGGACUGAGACACGGCCCAGACUCCUACGGGAGGCAGCAGUGGGGAAUAUUGGACAAUGGGCGCAAGCCUGAUCCAGCCAUACCGCGUGUGUGAAGAAGGCCCUAGGGUUGUAAAGCACUUUAAGUUGGGAAGAAAAGUUAUUGGUUAAUACCCAAUAACCGUGACAUUACCAUCAGAAUAAGGACCGGCUAAUUCCGUGCCAGCAGCCGCGGUAAUACGGAAGGUCCAAGCGUUAAUCGGAAUUACUGGGCGUAAAGCGCGCGUAGGUGGUUUAUUAAGUUGGAUGUGAAAUCCCCGGGCUCAACCUGGGAACUGCAUCCAAAACUGAUUCACUAGAGUACGAUAGAGGGAGGUAGAAUUCACAGUGUAGCGGUGGAAUGCGUAGAUAUUGUGAAGAAUACCAAUGGCGAAGGCAGCCUCCUGGAUCUGUACUGACACUGAGGUGCGAAAGCGUGGGUAGCGAACAGGAUUAGAUACCCUGGUAGUCCACGCCGUAAACGAUGUCAACUAGCUGUUGGAAAACUAUGUUUUUCAGUGGCGCAGCUAACGUAGUAAGUUGACCGCCUGGGGAGUACGGCCGCAAGGCUAAAACUCAAAUGAAUUGACGGGGACCCGCACAAGCGGUGGAGCAUGUGGUUUAAUUCGAUGCAACGCGAAAAACCUUACCUAUACUUGACAUACUUGGAAUGCUUUGUAAUGAAGCAGUGCCUUCGGGAGCCAAGAUACAGGUGCUGCAUGGCUGUCGUCAGCUCGUGUCGUGAGAUGUUCCGUUAAGUCGGAUAACGAGCGCAACCCUUA
This 882-nucleotide ribosomal RNA is filed under the name marine metagenome. Its description in RNAcentral is "bacterial SSU rRNA". It matches the Rfam family "Bacterial small subunit ribosomal RNA", at positions 232 to 1107 of the family's 1533-position model. The record is from RNAcentral.